This 299-nucleotide unclassified non-coding RNA is filed under the name uncultured fungus. Its description in RNAcentral is "sequence contains ITS1". Lineage: Eukaryota; Fungi. The record is from RNAcentral.
AAAGUGCGAUAUGUACUGCGCUGUGCGCUAAAUGCGCAGUCAUUCUUCGAAUACACAUUGUCCUGUCUGGCGAACAGUCGGCAGGGCAUCUGCUUCAGGGUUGUUGAUCAGUUUUUCGCCGCUUAGGUGGUGUCAUUCAGGGGGUGUCGCCGUUCGAGCGUCCCCCCGUCUUUGUGUCCUCGAUGCUCUUGCUUCUGUGGACUUGGGUGUGCAGUCCGGUUCAGUGCUUGCAUUGCUCCUUGCACCCCUCUAUUUUGUGACCCGACCUGAAGUCAGGUGUGACUACCCGCUGAACUUAA